GGGAGGGGGCCAGGCAGCCGUUAGACAGCACAACCGAACCCAACACCGGGGCCCAACGGCAGGGGCUUGGGCAGGAGCAAGGUCCGAGGGCUGCCAGGUCCACGCUGCUUUUAUGAGCUGUAACACUCACCGCGAAGAUCUGCAGCUUCACUCCUGAGCCCAGCGAGACCACGAGCCCACCGGGAGGAACAAACAACUCCAGACGCGCUGCCUUAAGAGCUGUAACACUUGCCGUGAAGGUCUGCAGCUUCACUCCUGAGCCAGCGAGACCACGAACCCACCAGAAGGAAGAAACUCCGAACACAUCUCAACAUCAGAACGGACAGACUCCAGACGCACCACCUUAAGAGCUGUAACACUCACCGCGAGGUUCCGCGGCUUCAUUCUUGAACAAUGAAUCCUCCAAUGUACCUGACUCUCCCUUUGCGAAGAGCAUCUCCGUGGCAGAAAUCUGAAAAUGCCCCUGGGGAGACACAUGCACAAGACAGUUCGUGAGCCACACAUCUCCCCACACCAAGCUCCUCCAUACAAGACCUCGGACUGCAUCACAGCUAUCAGCUUCCCAGUUUGCACAAUUCAUCAAGAAAUUAUGCGGGGUCACUGGCACAAAUGAUGAGGCAUCUCCUGGAAGCUUAACUUCUUAUCCAUCCCAUCUCUUGGACAGAUGAUGCCAGUUAAUUACUUUGAAUGCUCUGCUGCUAUGGUGAGCUGCACGUCUGGAGGCUUCACAGAGACACUGGGUGAAUCUAAAUGAUGAGUUUGAUGGUGACCUGGAGGUGAAACUGUGACUUCAUGAUGUUCUAGAGGCUGACCUGGGGUCUCCUGCUGGGUCAGAGAAGAUUCGACCUCCCCAGAAGACUCAGAAGGCUGAACUGGCUGCUGCUGCUCACUGAUGGAAAGUUCAUGCUCCAUAGGAGGAACUGGAGGCUCAAUUGGGGCCUCCUGUUGGGUUGCAGAAGGUUCCACCUCCUCUGGAAACUGAAUUGGGGUCUCCUGCUGGGUUUGGGAAGAUUCUGUCUCAUUGGUAGGCUCUGAAGUUAUGGUAACCUCCACAUCUGCAGGUUUAACUGUAAUGUUGGGCAAGUGAUAAUAAGCUUGAUCCUCACCUGGAGGUUGAACUGACACCUCAUGAUUCGGUAGAGUUAGACUCUCCAUAGAGGACUCUGGAGGCAGAGCUGGGGCCUCCUGCUGCAUUGAAGAAGGUUCUUCCUCAAGGAGCUGUGGAAGCUGUGCUGGGGCUUCUUGUUGGAGUGAAGAGGACUGGAUGUCUUCAAGGGUCUCUGGAUUUUGAGUUUCGGGCUCUAGAUGGAAUUGAGAAGGUCCAACUUGCUCAGAGGGCCCUGGAGGCUCAUCUGACUUCACCCGGAGUUCUGGAGGCAGGCUACCGGGAUACGGUGUAUCUGUACUGGAAUAUUCAUUCUGCAAAUUCUGUUUCUG
This is a long non-coding RNA of Homo sapiens (human), 1437 nucleotides long. The record is from Ensembl. NCBI's taxonomy places the organism in Eukaryota, Metazoa, Chordata, Mammalia, Primates, Hominidae.